CGUAGGGUGCAAGCGUUGAUCGGAAUUACUGGGCGUAAAGCGUGCGCAGGCGGUUUUGUAAGACUGUCGUGAAAUCCCCGGGCUCAACCUGGGAAUGGCGAUGGUGACUGCAAGGCUAGAGUUUGGCAGAGGGGGGUAGAAUUCCACGUGUAGCAGUGAAAUGCGUAGAUAUGUGGAGGAACACCGAUGACGAAGACAGCCCCCUGGGUCAAAACUGACGCUCAUGCACGAAAGCGUGGGGAGCAAACAGGAUUAGAUACCCUGGUAGUCCACGCCCUAAACGAUGUCUACUAGUUGUCGGGUUUUAAUUAACUUGGUAACGCAGCUAACGCGUGAAGUAGACCGCCUGGGGAGUACGGUCGCAAGAUUA
Molecule: ribosomal RNA, 370 nt
Filed under: uncultured organism
Description: bacterial SSU rRNA
Rfam family: Bacterial small subunit ribosomal RNA
Source: RNAcentral